Molecule: ribosomal RNA, 425 nt
Filed under: uncultured bacterium
Lineage: Bacteria
Description: partial 16S ribosomal RNA
Rfam family: Bacterial small subunit ribosomal RNA
Source: RNAcentral
GUGGGGAAUCUUGCGCAAUGGGCGAAAGCCUGACGCAGCCAUGCCGCGUGAAUGAUGAAGGUCUUAGGAUUGUAAAAUUCUUUCACCGGGGACGAUAAUGACGGUACCCGGAGAAGAAGCUCCGGCUAACUUCGUGCCAGCAGCCGCGGUAAUACGAAGGGGGCUAGCGUUGCUCGGAAUUACUGGGCGUAAAGGGCGCGUAGGCGGACAGCUUAGUCAGAGGUGAAAGCCCAGGGCUCAACCUUGGAAUUGGCUUUGAUACUGGCUGUCUUGAGUUUGGGAGAGGUGAGUGGAACGCCGAGUGUAGAGGAGAAAUUCGUAGAUAUUCGGAAGAACACCAGUGGCGAAGGCGACUCACUGGCCCAAUACUGACGCUGAGGCGCGAAAGCGUGGGGAGCAAACAGGAUUAGAUACCCGAGUAGUCC